RNAcentral lists this ribosomal RNA (486 nucleotides) under uncultured bacterium. Its description in RNAcentral is "bacterial SSU rRNA". It matches the Rfam family "Bacterial small subunit ribosomal RNA", at positions 21 to 507 of the family's 1533-position model. The record is from RNAcentral.
GGCUCAGGAUGAACGCUGGCGGCGUGCUUAACACAUGCAAGUCGAACGAAGCACUUUUGACAGAUUCUUCGGAUGAUGGAUUUAGUGACUGAGUGGCGGACGGGUGAGUAACGCGUGGGUAACCUGCCUCAUACAGGGGGAUAACAGUUAGAAAUGACUGCUAAUACCGCAUAAGCGCACGGUAUCGCAUGAUACAGUGUGAAAAACUCCGGUGGUAUGAGAUGGACCCGCGUCUGAUUAGCUAGUUGGUGAGGUAACGGCUCACCAAGGCAACGAUCAGUAGCCGGCCUGAGAGGGUGAACGGCCACAUUGGGACUGAGACACGGCCCAAACUCCUACGGGAGGCAGCAGUGGGGAAUAUUGCACAAUGGGGGCAACCCUGACGCAGCAACGCCGCGUGAAUGAAGAAGGUUUUCGGAUCGUAAAGUUCUUUAAGUGUGGAAGAAGAUGACGGUACACACAGAAUAAGCCACGGCUAACUACGUG